This 80-nucleotide small RNA is filed under the name Sinorhizobium meliloti 2011. RNAcentral's name for it is "putative ncRNA". The record is from RNAcentral. Lineage: Bacteria; Pseudomonadati; Pseudomonadota; Alphaproteobacteria; Hyphomicrobiales; Rhizobiaceae.
GCGGUCCAUUGCCGUGAGUAACCACGAUCUGAUGCUCGGCGGCGAUCGGCGCUAUAGCCUCGGCCGCUAUCUUGAUGUUC